This 533-nucleotide ribosomal RNA is filed under the name [Candida] sp. CoadMA441. Its description in RNAcentral is "eukaryotic LSU rRNA". It matches the Rfam family "Eukaryotic large subunit ribosomal RNA", at positions 103 to 618 of the family's 3401-position model. The record is from RNAcentral. Lineage: Eukaryota; Fungi; Ascomycota; Saccharomycetes; Saccharomycetales.
UAUAGCCUAAGCAGGCAGCAAAUCGGGCCUUCUUCCUACUGAUCCGAAAAACAAACUAUCUCGAAGAACGGCAUCUUUGGUUUUGCGCUCUUGUCUAUGUUCCUUGGAACAGGACGUCCCAGAGGGUGAGAAUCCCGNGCGAUGAGAUGCCCAAUUCCAUGUAAAGUUCCUUCGACGAGUCGAGUUGUUUGGGAAUGCAGCUCUAAGUGGGUGGUAAAUUCCAUCUAAAGCUAAAUAUUGGCGAGAGACCGAUAGCGAACAAGUACUGUGAAGGAAAGAUGAAAAGAACUUUGAAAAGAGAGUGAAAAAGUACGUGAAAUUGUUGAAAGGGAAGGGCUUGUUGAUCAUACUUGGAAUUUUCCAGCAACCCCCUUUCCGGGCCGGCAUCAGUUUGGAUGGCAGGAUAAAUUGCCCUACGAAAAUGGCACCCCCCCGCUUGGUGUGUUAUAAUCCUGCCGUCGAUAACUUCCUAUCCUAAUACUGAGGAACUGCCGUCUUUGACCUCAGAUAGCUGGCGUAGCUGAAUUGUAACC